UACGAAGGUCCCAAGCGUUAUCCGGAAUUAUUGGGCGUAAAGGGCUCGUAGGCGGUUUGUCGCGUCGGGAGUGAAAACCAUGGGCUUAACUCAUGGCUUGCUUCCGAUACGGGCAGACUAGAGGUAUGCAGGGGAGAACGGAAUUCCUGGUGUAGCGGUGAAAUGCGCAGAUAUCAGGAGGAACACCGGUGGCGAAGGCGGUUCUCUGGGCAUUACCUGACGCUGAGGAGCGAAAGUGUGGGGAGCGAACAGG
This 253-nucleotide ribosomal RNA is filed under the name uncultured bacterium. RNAcentral describes it as "partial 16S ribosomal RNA". It matches the Rfam family "Bacterial small subunit ribosomal RNA", at positions 524 to 776 of the family's 1533-position model. The record is from RNAcentral.